Molecule: ribosomal RNA, 393 nt
Filed under: Tryonicus sp. 1 JM-2008
Lineage: Eukaryota; Metazoa; Arthropoda; Insecta; Blattodea; Tryonicidae
Description: partial 16S ribosomal RNA
Rfam family: Archaeal large subunit ribosomal RNA (bases 1-209)
Source: RNAcentral
CGCCUGUUUAUCAAAAACAUCUCUUCUUGUGUGUAAUAUGAGGUAUAAUCUGCCCACUGAUAUUUAUUGAAGGGCCGCGGUAUUUUGACCGUGCAAAGGUAGCAUAAUCAUUAGUUUUUUAAUUGAGGACUGGAAUGAAUGAUUGGACGAGAAGACCCCUGUUUCUAUUAAUUAUUUAUUGAAUUUAAAUUUCAAGUUAAAAUGCUUGAAUUUUUUAGUGGGACGAGAAGACCCUAUAGAGUUUAAUUGUUGAUAUCUUAUUUGGUUGGUUUUUGGUUUAAUUUAUUAAUAAUUUGGUUGGGGUGAUUGGAAGAUAUAAGGAACUCUUUUGCUUGAUUCUUAUUUAUUUAUUAAUUUGUGAUCCAUUUUUAGUGAUUGUUAGAAAAAAUUACC